GGAUUGUCAACUUUUUCAAAUGGUAUGUCAUGGUAGGGCUCAUUUUCAUUUCUGGUCUGCCCUACCGUCUCAAAGCAAACAUAGCUAAUUUUGGCAAAUGCAAUUUAAAAAAAUGGAAAUGGGGAAAAUCUUAUGUUUGACUGUGUAACUUUCCAAAUCACCAUAAAACCUGUACUUGAGGGGUACUGUUGUACUCGUGAGACAUUU
Pelobates cultripes (western spadefoot toad) is the source of this 207-nucleotide non-coding RNA. Lineage: Eukaryota; Metazoa; Chordata; Amphibia; Anura; Pelobatidae. The record is from the annotation of a GenBank genome assembly.